This 468-nucleotide ribosomal RNA is filed under the name uncultured bacterium. RNAcentral describes it as "SSU rRNA". It matches the Rfam family "Bacterial small subunit ribosomal RNA", at positions 26 to 518 of the family's 1533-position model. The record is from RNAcentral.
AGAAUCAACGCUGGCGGCGUGCUUAACACAUGCAAGUCGAGCGGAAAGGCCCUUCGGGGUACUCGAGCGGCGAACGGGUGAGUAACACGUGAGCAACCUGCCCUUAGCUUCGGGAUAGCUCCGGGAAACCGGAAUUAAUACCGAAUAUGACUGCGGCUGACAUCAGCCACGGUGGAAAGUUUUUCGGCUAGGGAUGGACUCGCGGCCUAUCAGCUAGUUGGUGAGGUAACGGCCCACCAAGGCGACGACGGGUAGCCGGCCUGAGAGGGCAACGGCCAACGACUGGACUGAGACACGGCCCAGACUCCUACGGGAGCAGCAGUGGGAAUAUUGCGCAAUGGGCGAAAAGCCUGACGCAGCGACGCCGCGUGGGGGAUGAAGGCCUUCGGUGUAAACCCUUCAGCAGGACGAAGCGAAAGUGACGGUACCUGCAGAAGAAGCGCCGGCUAACUACGUGCCAGCAGCCGC